GGGGGGUGCAAGCGUUGUUCGGAAUUACUGGGCGUAAAGCGCGUGUAGGCGGCUUGGCAAGUCGGGUGUGAAAUCCCGGGGCUCAACCCCGGAACUGCGUCCGAAACUGCCUCGCUAGAGUCCCGGAGAGGAAGGCAGAAUUCCCAGUGUAGGGGUGAAAUCCGUAGAUAUUGGGAGGAAUACCAGUGGCGAAGGCGGCCUUCUGGACGGUGACUGACGCUCAGACGCGAAAGCGUGGGGAGCAAACAGGAUUAGAUACCCUGGGUAGUCCACGCCGUAAACGUUGUGCACUAGGUGUCGGGGGUAUUCACCCCCUCCCGGUGCCCGCCCGCUAACGCAUUAAGUGCACCGCCUGGGGAGUACGGCCGCAAGGCUA
This 376-nucleotide ribosomal RNA is filed under the name uncultured organism. RNAcentral's name for it is "partial 16S ribosomal RNA". It matches the Rfam family "Bacterial small subunit ribosomal RNA", at positions 527 to 896 of the family's 1533-position model. The record is from RNAcentral.